AUUGAACGCUGGCGGCAUGCUUUACACAUGCAAGUCGAGCGGCAGCGCGGCCUUCGGGCUGGCGGCGAGCGGCGAACGGGUGAGUAAUGCAUCGGAACAUGCCCAGUCGUGGGGGAUAACACUUCGAAAGAAGUGCUAAUACCGCAUACGUCCUGAGGGGGAAAGCGGGGGAUCGCAAGACCUCGCGCGAUUGGAGUGGCCGAUGUCAGAUUAGCUAGUUGGUGGGGUAAAGGCCUACCAAGGCGACGAUCUGUAGCUGGUCUGAGAGGAUGAUCAGCCACACUGGGACUGAGACACGGCCCAGACUCCUACGGGAGGCAGCAGUGGGGAAUUUUGGACAAUGGGGGCAAGCCUGAUCCAGCCAUGCCGCGUGAGUGAAGAAGGCCUUCGGGUUGUAAAGCUCUUUCGGCAGGAACGAAACGGUGGGCUCUAACAUAGUCCGCUAAUGACGGUACCUGAAGAAGAAGCACCGGCUAACUACGUG
This 484-nucleotide ribosomal RNA is filed under the name uncultured bacterium. RNAcentral describes it as "partial 16S ribosomal RNA". It matches the Rfam family "Bacterial small subunit ribosomal RNA", at positions 29 to 507 of the family's 1533-position model. The record is from RNAcentral.